This is a long non-coding RNA of Trichosurus vulpecula (common brushtail), 539 nucleotides long. RefSeq lists it as uncharacterized. The record is from RefSeq and is a predicted model, not a curated record. Lineage: Eukaryota; Metazoa; Chordata; Mammalia; Diprotodontia; Phalangeridae. The transcript has 5 exons.
UGAGCUGUGACCUGUCGGAGAAGACCUAGGCGCGGGACAGAGCGGGAGACCAAGGGGGAAGGCGGAGAUGCCACAUGUGGUGAGGUACCAGCAGACUGGGGAACUGAAUGCUCACUGCCCUUUUCAGGUGAAUUACAAGGCCGCAAAGCUGCAGAAGGAAAGGACAGGCCGGCCAAUCUCAAGUUCAGCUGAGAAACAAAUUUGCUUGGGCUCCAUCUUCACCUAGUUGAGAGAAAGUCUAGUUACCAAACAUCUCUCCUUCCACAAGCUCUGCUUCCAAGGAAAGUUAACCAUGUCUUCUUCCUGGUGCUCCUUCCUCUGCUGAGACCAUGCAGUGUAGAGCAGAGAUGGGCAGCAGCGAGCCCCUUCCUAUCUCCGAAAGUGGCACCAGGAAGAAGAAGAAACGGAAGGCCCGAGCGACUGAUUCCUUGCCAGAAAGGUUUGAAGAUUUGUACAGACUGACCUCUGAGCUGCUUGGAGAAGGUGCCUACGCCAAAGUUCAGGGUGCUGUGAGUCUGCAGAAUGGCAAAGAAUAUGCA